RNAcentral lists this ribosomal RNA (490 nucleotides) under uncultured bacterium. RNAcentral's name for it is "partial 16S ribosomal RNA". It matches the Rfam family "Bacterial small subunit ribosomal RNA", at positions 28 to 507 of the family's 1533-position model. The record is from RNAcentral.
GAUGAACGCUAGCUACAGGCUUAACACAUGCAAGUCGCAGGGUAACAUGAGGAAAGCUUGCUUUCCUUGAUGACGACUGGCGCACGGGCGAGUAACGCGUAUCCAACCUUCCCAUAACUACGGGAUAACCCGUUGAAAGACGGCCUAAUACCGUAUGAUAUCGUUUGCUGACAUCAAAUAACGAUUAAAGGUUUAGCGGUUAUGGAUGGGGAUGCGUCUGAUUAGCUUGUUGGCGGGGUAACGGCCCACCAAGGCGACGAUCAGUAGGGGUUCUGAGAGGAAGGUCCCCCACAUUGGAACUGAGACACGGUCCAAACUCCUACGGGAGGCAGCAGUGAGGAAUAUUGGUCAAUGGGCGAGAGCCUGAACCAGCCAAGUAGCGUGCAGGAUGACGGCCCUAUGGGUUGUAAACUGCUUUUAUGUGGGGAUAAAGUGCGUGACGUGUCAUGCAUUGCAGGUACCACAUGAAUAAGGACCGGCUAAUUCCGUG